Molecule: ribosomal RNA, 160 nt
Filed under: Campylobacter coli
Lineage: Bacteria; Pseudomonadati; Campylobacterota; Epsilonproteobacteria; Campylobacterales; Campylobacteraceae
Description: partial 23S ribosomal RNA
Rfam family: Bacterial large subunit ribosomal RNA
Source: RNAcentral
AAAGGUAAGCUACUAAGAGCGAAUGGUGGAUGCCUUGACUGGUAAAGGCGAUGAAGGACGUACUAGACUGCGAUAAGCUACGGGGAGCUGUCAAGAAGCUUUGAUCCGUAGAUUUCCGAAUGGGGCAACCCAAUGUAUAGAGAUAUACAUUACCUAUAUA